This 333-nucleotide ribosomal RNA is filed under the name uncultured bacterium. RNAcentral describes it as "bacterial SSU rRNA". It matches the Rfam family "Bacterial small subunit ribosomal RNA", at positions 28 to 369 of the family's 1533-position model. The record is from RNAcentral.
GAUGAACGCUGGCGGCGUGCCUAACACAUGCAAGUCGAGCGAUUCUCUUCGGAGAAGAGCGGCGGACGGGUGAGUAACGCGUGGGUAACCUGCCCUGUACACACGGAUAACAUACCGAAAGGUAUGCUAAUACGAGAUAAUAUACUUUAUCGCAUGGUAGAAGUAUCAAAGCUUUUGUCGGUACAGGAUGGACCCGCGUCUGAUUAGCUAGUUGGUAAGGUAACGGCUUACCAAGGCGACGAUCAGUAGCCGACCUGAGAGGGUGAUCGGCCACAUUGGAACUGAGACACGGUCCAAACUCCUACGGGAGGCAGCAGUGGGGAAGUAUUGCAC